CGGACGGGUGAGUAACGCGUGGGAACGUACCCUUCUCUGCGGAAUAGCCACUGGAAACGGUGAGUAAUACCGCAUACGCCCUUCGGGGGAAAGAUUUAUCGGGGAAGGAUCGGCCCGCGUCUGAUUAGGUAGUUGGUGGGGUAAUGGCCUACCAAGCCUACGAUCAGUAGCUGGUUUUAGAGGAUGAUCAGCCACACUGGGACUGAGACACGGCCCAGACUCCUACGGGAGGCAGCAGUGGGGAAUCUUAGACAAUGGGCGCAAGCCUGAUCUAGCCAUGCCGCGUGAGUGAUGAAGGCCUUAGGGUCGUAAAGCUCUUUCGCCAGGGAUGAUAAUGACAGUACCUGGUAAAGAAACCCCGGCUAACUCCGUGCCAGCAGCCGCGGUAAUACGGAGGGGGUUAGCGUUGUUCGGAAUUACUGGGCGUAAAGCGCACGUAGGCGGACUAUUAAGUCAGGGGUGAAAUCCCGGGGCUCAACCCCGGAACUGCCUUUGAUACUGGUAGUCUUGAGUUCGAGAGAGGUGAGUGGAAUUCCGAGUGUAGAGGUGAAAUUCGUAGAUAUUCGGAGGAACACCAGUGGCGAAGGCGGCUCACUGGC
This 599-nucleotide ribosomal RNA is filed under the name Pseudooceanicola batsensis. Its description in RNAcentral is "bacterial SSU rRNA". It matches the Rfam family "Bacterial small subunit ribosomal RNA", at positions 99 to 733 of the family's 1533-position model. Lineage: Bacteria; Pseudomonadati; Pseudomonadota; Alphaproteobacteria; Rhodobacterales; Paracoccaceae. The record is from RNAcentral.